RNAcentral lists this ribosomal RNA (371 nucleotides) under uncultured organism. Its description in RNAcentral is "bacterial SSU rRNA". It matches the Rfam family "Bacterial small subunit ribosomal RNA", at positions 527 to 896 of the family's 1533-position model. The record is from RNAcentral.
CGGGGGGGCAAGCGUUGUUCGGAAUUACUGGGCGUAAAGGGCUCGUAGGCGGCCAACUAAGUCAGACGUGAAAUCCCUCGGCUUAACCGGGGAACUGCGUCUGAUACUGGAUGGCUUGAGUUUGGGAGAGGGAUGCGGAAUUCCAGGUGUAGCGGUGAAAUGCGUAGAUAUCUGGAGGAACACCGGUGGCGAAGGCGGCAUCCUGGACCAAUACUGACGCUGAGGAGCGAAAGCCAGGGGAGCAAACGGGAUUAGAUACCCCGGUAGUCCUGGCCCUAAACGAUGAAUGCUUGGUGUGGCGGGUAUCGAUCCCUGCCGUGCCGAAGCUAACGCAUUAAGCAUUCCGCCUGGGGAGUACGGUCGCAAGGCUG